UUAUUCUUUUUCGCUGCCUUGUAAGCCUCCGAUUCGAUUUGGCGGUGACCGGCAACUAAUCGACCGUUCUCGAAAUAGAGUUUGACUAAUGUGGCAUAGCCGUCAAAGAGAUGCCGGAAAUUAUAAUCCCCUAUGUGCCAGAGUCCAGGUCCGUUUCUAAGGUACGUCCCUUUCUGCAUGUGUUAAUUUUUGCCAAUCAAGUCAAAGAUUAAUUGACAUUUAUUUAUUUUUAAUUAUCUAAAAAAUUGUAGAAAAUUAGAAUCCCAUACUCAAACUGAAUAUUUUGUUUAAGUUCAGAAGUAUUAGAAAAAUAUAAAUGGAUUCAUGCAUGAGUUUUUAAAAAAAAAUACAAAUAAUAAUAAUAUUUUUUGGUUUUAUAAAAAAGUAAUUAAUAAUUUUUUUUUAAAUUACAGCACAAGAUAAAACUUGAAAAUUACAGGGCACAGAAAAUAUGCAUGCAUAUCUAUCCCCAGAUUAUAAGUCUGUGUUUUAUGUUCACAAACAAAUUAAGCAGUGCAUGUGAAUAAAUCUAAAAGAAAAAAGUAAAAUUUAUUUUAUUUAAUUAAUAAUUAUGCAUCUUAAAAAAUAAAUUAAAAAAAAAAAGCAUCAGAAUCAGUGGGGCUAACAAAACACUCAGAAGCAAACAUAUUGAUGAUUACAAGUGAUUCUGUAGAAUGUCUGACCUGAUGUUUUCUUUUGGAUAUGCAUCAGAAUUAAGGACAAAAAAAAAUCUUUUUUUUUAAAAAAAAAAACCCAUAAUAUUAAAUACUAGGCAAGUAUUUUAAUUUAAAUAUUUAACGCAUUAAUUCUGAAUAAAGGUGAAAAUAUGUAUUUAAUCAUUAUCUUUCUUAUUUAAUGGUAAAUCUUUCUCAUUUACAACUGACAAAAAUACUACCAAAUAUAUUCUGGAAUUUCCUUAAUAAUAAAAAAACGCCAAAAAGAUCCAAAUUGAUUUUUGGUUUAAAAGAAAAAAAAAAUUAAUACAUGUUCUUUGAUUAUCAAAUUAUUCUAUCUAAAUCCAAAGAAUGUUAAUUGAAAAAUAAGAUAGAAUUUUUUUUUUUUUUAAUAGGUUUAGAAAUGAGAAAGUGCACAAACCAGCCAUAAUGGAAUCUCUCCUUGUACAAGAAGCUCUCCUUCCCAUCUCUCUUGCCGGACACUAGUCCAGGCAACAUGAUUCCGGCCAGCACCAACAUCAU
RNAcentral lists this long non-coding RNA (1196 nucleotides) under Manihot esculenta (cassava). Its description in RNAcentral is "long non-coding RNA (MESC_LNC009868)". The record is from RNAcentral. Lineage: Eukaryota; Viridiplantae; Streptophyta; Magnoliopsida; Malpighiales; Euphorbiaceae.